UGCAUCUGAAGCCUGACGAGGAUGAGAACCUCCGGAGGGCAAGAGGUUCGACCCGAGCGAAGCGAGAGAACGUUGCGUCAGCAACGGCCCGCA
Molecule: small RNA, 93 nt
Filed under: Salmonella enterica
Lineage: Bacteria; Pseudomonadati; Pseudomonadota; Gammaproteobacteria; Enterobacterales; Enterobacteriaceae
Also listed under: 1 other name
Description: partial RtT sRNA
Rfam family: RtT RNA
About the family: This family represents a bacterial cis-regulatory element known as RtT RNA.
Source: RNAcentral